RNAcentral lists this unclassified non-coding RNA (382 nucleotides) under soil metagenome. RNAcentral describes it as "partial contains 5.8S ribosomal RNA, internal transcribed spacer 2, and large subunit ribosomal RNA". The stretch from base 1 to 120 matches the Rfam family "5.8S ribosomal RNA", at positions 35 to 154 of the family's 154-position model. The record is from RNAcentral.
GAUGAAGAACGUAGCGAAGUGCGAUAAGUAAUGUGAAUUGCAGAAUUCCGUGAAUCAUCGAAUCUUUGAACGCAAAUUGCACUUUCUGGUAUUCCGGAGAGUAUGCCUGUUUGAGGGUCAGUGUAAUAAAAAUAAAUCGUGGUUGCUACCACCUUUCGUGGUGACGCUUCGGAAUUGAGUCGUCUUACCUUUUGGUUAAGUGACUUAAAAUUUUUUCAUACGAUUUCGAAAACGUAUUUAAUGUAUUAUGUACGUUCACGAAUAUCGAAUGUUUAUUAGGUGCGGUCAUUUUUCAUGAAUUCGCGUCUAUAAUUUUUUUUUUUUUUGACCUCAAAUCAGGUAAGAAUACCCGCUGAACUUAAGCAUAUCAAUAAGCGGAGGA